CCUACGGGAGGCAGCAGUGAGGAAUAUUGGUCAAUGGGCGAGAGCCUGAACCAGCCAAGUCGCGUGAGGGAAGACGGUCCUAUGGAUUGUAAACCUCUUUUGUCGGGGAGCAAAAAGGCCUCGUGAGGCCACAAGUGAGAGUACCCGAAGAAAAAGCAUCGGCUAACUCCGUGCCAGCAGCCGCGGUAAUAAGGAGGAUGCGGGCGUUACACGGAUUUAUUGGGGGGAAAGAGUUCGUAGGCGGCAUGUAAAGUCAGGUGUUAAAGGCGCAGGCUUAACCUGUGUAUGGCACUUGAUACUUGCAAGCUGGAAUGCGGUAGAGGUAAGGGGAAUUCCUGGGGUAGCGGUGAAAUGCUUAGAUAUCAGGAGGAACAUCGGUGGCGUAAGCGCUUUACUGGGCCGUAAUUGACGCUGAGGAACGAAAGCCAGGGUAGCAAAUGGGAUUAGAUACCCCAGUAGUC
Molecule: ribosomal RNA, 461 nt
Filed under: uncultured bacterium
Lineage: Bacteria
Description: partial 16S ribosomal RNA
Rfam family: Bacterial small subunit ribosomal RNA
Source: RNAcentral